This 519-nucleotide ribosomal RNA is filed under the name uncultured eukaryote. Its description in RNAcentral is "SSU rRNA". It matches the Rfam family "Eukaryotic small subunit ribosomal RNA", at positions 1161 to 1693 of the family's 1831-position model. The record is from RNAcentral.
AGGGCACCACCAGGAGUGGAGCCUGCGGCUUAAUUUGACUCAACACGGGAAAACUUACCCGGCCCGGACACUGGAAGGAUUGACAGAUUGAGAGCUCUUUCUUGAUUCAGUGGGUGGUGGUGCAUGGCCGUUCUUAGUUGGUGGAGCGAUUUGUCUGGUUAAUUCCGAUAACGAACGAGACUCUAGCCUACUAAAUAGACCAGAGGCUUCUUAAAACACGUCUCUGGCUGCUUCUUAGAGGGACAGGCGGCGAUUCAGCCGCACGAAACAGAGCAAUAACAGGUCUGUGAUGCCCUUAGAUGUCCGGGGCCGCACGCGCGCCACACUGAAGUGAUCAGCGUGCUUUUUGUACCCUGCUCUGCCAAGAGUGGGUAACCCAAUGAACCUUCUUCGUGAUUGGGAUAGGGGAUUGUAAUUAUUCCCCUUGAACGAGGAAUUCCCAGUAAGCGCGAGUCAUAAGCUCGCGUUGAUUACGUCCCUGCCCUUUGUACACACCGCCCGUCGCUACUACCGAUUGAA